RNAcentral lists this ribosomal RNA (476 nucleotides) under uncultured organism. RNAcentral's name for it is "partial 16S ribosomal RNA". It matches the Rfam family "Bacterial small subunit ribosomal RNA", at positions 333 to 800 of the family's 1533-position model. The record is from RNAcentral.
ACACUCCUACGGGAGGCAGCAGUGGGGAAUUUUGGACAAUGGGCGAAAGCCUGAUCCAGCAAUGCCGCGUGAGUGAAGAAGGCCUUCGGGUUGUAAAGCUCUUUUGUCAGGGAAGAAACGGUGAGAGCUAAUAUCUCUUGCUAAUGACGGUACCUGAAGAAUAAGCACCGGCUAACUACGUGCCAGCAGCCGCGGUAAUACGUAGGGUGCAAGCGUUAAUCGGAAUUACUGGGCGUAAAGCGUGCGCAGGCGGUUUUGUAAGUCUGAUGUGAAAUCCCCGGGCUCAACCUGGGAAUUGCAUUGGAGACUGCAAGGCUAGAAUCUGGCAGAGGGGGGUAGAAUUCCACGUGUAGCAGUGAAAUGCGUAGAUAUGUGGAGGAACACCGAUGGCGAAGGCAGCCCCCUGGGUCAAGAUUGACGCUCAUGCACGAAAGCGUGGGGAGCAAACAGGAUUAGAUACCCUUGUAGUCCCAUGA